This 513-nucleotide ribosomal RNA is filed under the name uncultured bacterium. Its description in RNAcentral is "bacterial SSU rRNA". It matches the Rfam family "Bacterial small subunit ribosomal RNA", at positions 791 to 1311 of the family's 1533-position model. The record is from RNAcentral.
UAGUCCACGCCGUAAACGAUGGAUACUAGUUGUUGGAUUUUCGGAUUCAGUGACUAAGCGAAAGUGAUAAGUAUCCCACCUGGGGAGUACGGUCGCAAGAUUGAAACUCAAAGGAAUUGACGGGGGCCCGCACAAGCGGUGGAGCAUGUGGUUUAAUUCGAUGAUACGCGAGGAACCUUACCAGGGCUUAAAUGUAAGUUGCAUAGAGUAGAGAUAUUCUUUUCUUCGGACUACUUACAAGGUGCUGCAUGGUUGUCGUCAGCUCGUGCCGUGAGGUGUCAGGUUAAGUCCUAUAACGAGCGCAACCCCUACCGUUAGUUGCCAGUAUGUAAAGAUGGGAACUCUAACAAGACUGCCAGUGCAAACUGUGAGGAAGGUGGGGAUGACGUCAAAUCAUCAGGCCCUUACGUCCUGGGCUACACACGUGCUACAAUGGCCGGUACAGAGAGCAGCCANACCGCGAGGUGGAGCGAAUCUAUAAAACCGGUCUCAGUUCGGAUCGGAGUCUGCAAC